AGAUUGAACGCUGGCGGCAUGCCUUACACAUGCAAGUCGAACGCGAAAGGGGGCAACCCCCGAGUAGAGUGGCGAACGGGUGAGUAAUACAUCGGAACGUGUCCAGUAGCGGGGGAUAACCUCUCGAAAGAGAGGCUAAUACCGCAUACGACCUACGGGUGAAAGAGGGGGAUCGCAAGACCUCUCACUAUUGGAGCGGCCGAUGUCGGAUUAGCUAGUUGGCGGGGUAAAAGCCCACCAAGGCGACGAUCCGUAGCUGGUCUGAGAGGACGGCCAGCCACACUGGAACUGAGACACGGUCCAGACUCCUACGGGAGGCAGCAGUGGGGAAUUUUUGGGCAAUGGGCGCAAGCCUGACCCAGCAACGCCGCGUGGGUGACGAAGGCCUUCGGGUGUAAAGCCCUUUCUGGGGAAGAUGAUGACGGUACCCCAGGAAGAAGCACCGGCUAACUACGUGCCAGCAGCCGC
RNAcentral lists this ribosomal RNA (468 nucleotides) under uncultured bacterium. Its description in RNAcentral is "SSU rRNA". It matches the Rfam family "Bacterial small subunit ribosomal RNA", at positions 26 to 518 of the family's 1533-position model. The record is from RNAcentral.